GGAAAGGUGGCCGAGUGGUUUAAGGCGACGGUCUUGAAAACCGUUGUGGGGCCAGUCCUCACCGUGAGUUCGAAUCUCACCCUUUCCG
This 88-nucleotide transfer RNA is filed under the name Thermoflexales bacterium. Its description in RNAcentral is "tRNA-Ser". It matches the Rfam family "tRNA". Rfam says of the family: Transfer RNA (tRNA) molecules are approximately 80 nucleotides in length. Their secondary structure includes four short double-helical elements and three loops (D, anti-codon, and T loops). Further hydrogen bonds mediate the characteristic L-shaped molecular structure. tRNAs have two regions of fundamental functional importance: the anti-codon, which is responsible for specific mRNA codon recognition, and the 3' end, to which the tRNAs corresponding amino acid is attached (by aminoacyl-tRNA synthetases). tRNAs cope with the degeneracy of the genetic code in two manners: having more than one tRNA (with a specific anti-codon) for a particular amino acid; and 'wobble' base-pairing, i.e. permitting non-standard base-pairing at the 3rd anti-codon position. The record is from RNAcentral. Lineage: Bacteria; Bacillati; Chloroflexota; Thermoflexia; Thermoflexales. RNAcentral also lists the same sequence under 1 other name.